This 450-nucleotide ribosomal RNA is filed under the name uncultured bacterium. RNAcentral's name for it is "bacterial SSU rRNA". It matches the Rfam family "Bacterial small subunit ribosomal RNA", at positions 266 to 712 of the family's 1533-position model. The record is from RNAcentral.
UACCAAGGCGAAGACGCUUAGCUGGUCUGAGAGGAUGAUCAGCCACACUGGGACUGAGACACGGCCCAGACUCCUACGGGAGGGCAGCAGUGGGGAAUAUUGGACAAUGGGCGCAAGCCUGAUCCAGCCACGCCGCGUGAGUGAUGAAGGCCUUCGGGUCGUAAAGCUCUGUGGGGAGGGACGAACGGCGCCAUGAAGAGUGGCGAUUGACGGUACCUCCUUAGCAAGCACCGGCUAACUUCGUGCCAGCAGCCGCGGUAAUACGAAGGGUGCAAACGUUGCUCGGAAUCAUUGGGCGUAAAGCGCACGUAGGCGGCUUUCUAAGUCGGAUGUGAAAUCCCUCGGCUUAACCGAGGACGUGCAUCCGAAACUGGGAGGCUUGAGUAUGGAAGAGGGUCGCAGAAUUCCCGGUGUAGAGGUGAAAUUCGUAGAUAUCGGGAGGAAUACCAG